UAACCUGCCCAAGAGAUCGGGAUAACACCUGGAAACAGAUGCUAAUACCGGAUAACAACAGAUGAUGCCUAUCAACUGUUUAAAAGAUGGUUCUGCCAUCACUCUUGGAUGGACCUGCGGUGCAUUAGCUAGUUGGUAGGGUAACGGCCUACCAAGGCGAUGAUGCAUAGCCGAGUUGAGAGACUGAUCGGCCACAUUGGGACUGAGACACGGCCCAAACUCCUACGGGAGGCAGCAGUC
Molecule: ribosomal RNA, 240 nt
Filed under: uncultured Lactobacillus sp.
Lineage: Bacteria; Bacillati; Bacillota; Bacilli; Lactobacillales; Lactobacillaceae
Description: partial 16S ribosomal RNA
Rfam family: Bacterial small subunit ribosomal RNA
Source: RNAcentral